This 450-nucleotide ribosomal RNA is filed under the name uncultured bacterium. Its description in RNAcentral is "partial 16S ribosomal RNA". It matches the Rfam family "Bacterial small subunit ribosomal RNA", at positions 354 to 796 of the family's 1533-position model. The record is from RNAcentral.
GUGGGGAAUUUUGGACAAUGGGCGAAAGCCUGAUCCAGCCAUGCCGCGUGCAGGAUGAAGGCCUUCGGGUUGUAAACUGCUUUUGUACGGAACGAAAAGACUCUGGUUAAUACCUGGGGUCCAUGACGGUACCGUAAGAAUAAGCACCGGCUAACUACGUGCCAGCAGCCGCGGUAAUACGUAGGGUGCAAGCGUUAAUCGGAAUUACUGGGCGUAAAGCGUGCGCAGGCGGUUAUAUAAGACAGAUGUGGAAUCCCCGGGCUCAACCUGGGAACUGCAUGUGUGACUGUAUAGCUAGAGUACGGCAGAGGGGGAUGGAAUUCCGCGUGUAGCAGUGAAAUGCGUAGAUAUGCGGAGGAACACCGAUGGCGAAGGCAAUCCCCUGGGCCUGUACUGACGCUCAUGCACGAAAGCGUGGGGAGCAAACAGGAUUAGAAACCCUGGUAGUCC